UAGGGAAUCUUCCGCAAUGGACGAAAGUCUGACGGAGCAACGCCGCGUGAGUGAUGAAGGUUUUCGGAUCGUAAAGCUCUGUUGCCAGGGAAGAACGUCCGUUAGAGUAACUGCUAACGGAGUGACG
Molecule: ribosomal RNA, 127 nt
Filed under: Paenibacillus sp. 65m
Lineage: Bacteria; Bacillati; Bacillota; Bacilli; Caryophanales; Paenibacillaceae
Description: partial 16S ribosomal RNA
Rfam family: Bacterial small subunit ribosomal RNA
Source: RNAcentral